Macaca mulatta (Rhesus monkey) is the source of this 1624-nucleotide long non-coding RNA. The record is from Ensembl. Lineage: Eukaryota; Metazoa; Chordata; Mammalia; Primates; Cercopithecidae.
GACUUUCAUUCUCAACUGCGAUUUCCUUAAAUAUUUUGGCAUUGAGCCACAUAACUCGUCUUUGGAUUUUUCCAGUACCUGUAUUUUUUUUUUUUCUGUCCAUAAGUUUAUUGUCUUUAUCUGAAAAAUCCUCAUAGAAAAUUGUUUGGUUUAGCUCUCAGCAGCUCACUCCUGAACUCUGAGGAAGUUUGCCUUCAUUGAGCUACCCAAUCUUUCUUCUGAGCAAGGGACAUUUUGGGACGGUUCCACCUCUUCUUUUUAACUUCUUUCUUGGGCUUCUUUUCAUAGACUAGACUCUCUCAUAUAGCAGCAUGAGCUUUCUCAUACAACUCCUCCAUCAUGUCUGGAGUUACGCUGUUCUUUAUGUAUUGAGAUAACUGUUUCUUGAAGCAUCUUCAUCUUAUUCCGUUAAGUAGCACAUGUAAUCUGAAACAUUCUGGCCCAUGAUGUGCUUCUGGUGUACUUCUGCAUUACAUUUCUUGCUUUCAGAAUCAUAACCAGGGAAUUAUUUAGUACUGUGAGGGACAGACAAGCCUUCAUGCACAGCUCCCUUCAGGGCACCAAAACCUUUAUUGCCAGUGAUAGUUCUGGCAAGACCUGCAUCCUAAUUGCAGGUAAAGGCACCUGGCUGACCAUCAAUGCUUACCACAUUGUAGUUAUCGCCAGUCGCCUCCACUUGGCCUUCAUAGAUCUUGUCCAUGCCAAACCUAUUGAGAAGCCUGCGGGCCAGCAGCAGGCCAGUACAAUACGCUGCAGCAUUAAUUUGUCAGGUCAACCUUCACACUGUAUUUUGGCAGUUUGUGUGCAUAUGCCGUGCAGACUAUCAUAUCUCCCUCUAUACGGGCAUAAGCAAUCUGACAAAUGAUAUCUCUGUUUGUUACACGAACUAUCAUCCUGUAUUUGGGUGUGUUGUAUUUAUUUUUAUCCUGUAUCACCAAACGUUUCUGAGCAUAGUAAUCAGUUUUACCCUCAUCCUGCAGAACAGAGACCCGCGUCUGCGGCUCAACAGAGACCUUACGUGUAUUUUUUUUUCUUUUUGCAUUACUUUAUUCAAGUUUUCUGUCAUUAUGUUUCUCCUAUUCAUAGACAGUUUUUGAGACCUAUUUUGUUUGUACAGCGUUUCAUCAACUAUUACUACUUCUGCAUUAUAAUUACUGUGAUUACUUUUACUGCUAUUAUGACUUCCACAGUAUUACACUUCAGUUGCUGAGUUCUAGUGUAAAAAGCAGCUUCAUUAGUGAGACACGUUUCUGAUCAUGGCUGAGUUCUGAGUGGUUCUAUUUGCUUGUGUGUUUUGUCUGCGCGUUAGUCAGUGGUGCACAUUUAUGACAGUUAUUUUCUUAGUAACUGCUUUUACAGUGAUAUAAUGUGAGAAUUUCCAUAGUGCAUAAUAUUUUUGUUCUAAGUCCAAUAGUAAACUGAGAAUGUCCAAUUUUAAUGGAUUCUGCAAAUGAAAUGAUCCAAAGUGCACCCCUUCCCCAUUGACUGCAAAUGUAUACGUAUUUAUAUUUUAUUGUUUACACAUUCAUAUAAAUAAAAAAGGAAGAUUUGCAUUUUCUUUUUUUUCUUUUUUUUUUUUUGAGACGGAGUCUCUCUCUGUCUCCCAGGCUGGAGUGCUGCGGCG